UGGGGAAUAUUGGACAAUGGGCGCAAGCCUGAUCCAGCCAUGCCGCGUGAGUGAUGAAGGCCCUAGGGUUGUAAAGCUCUUUCACCGGUGAAGAUAAUGACGGUAACCGGAGAAGAAGCCCCGGCUAACUUCGUGCCAGCAGCCGCGGUAAUACGAAGGGGGCUAGCGUUGUUCGGAUUUACUGGGCGUAAAGCGCACGUAGGCGGACUUUUAAGUCAGGGGUGAAAUCCCGGGGCUCAACCCCGGAACUGCCUUUGAUACUGGAAGUCUUGAGUAUGGUAGAGGUGAGUGGAAUUCCGAGUGUAGAGGUGAAAUUCGUAGAUAUUCGGAGGAACACCAGUGGCGAAGGCGGCUCACUGGACCAUUACUGACGCUGAGGUGCGAAAGCGUGGGGAGCAAACAGGGUUAGAUACCCUGGUAGUCCACGCCGUAAACGAUGAAUGUUAGCCGUUGGGGAGUUUACUCUUCGGUGGCGCAGCUAACGCAUUAAACAUUCCGCCUGGGGAGUACGGUCGCAAGAUUAAAACUUAAAUGAAUUGACGGGG
RNAcentral lists this ribosomal RNA (545 nucleotides) under uncultured bacterium. RNAcentral describes it as "partial 16S ribosomal RNA". It matches the Rfam family "Bacterial small subunit ribosomal RNA", at positions 355 to 918 of the family's 1533-position model. The record is from RNAcentral.